This is a long non-coding RNA of Dendroctonus ponderosae (mountain pine beetle), 408 nucleotides long. RefSeq lists it as uncharacterized. The transcript has 2 exons. The record is from RefSeq and is a predicted model, not a curated record. Lineage: Eukaryota; Metazoa; Arthropoda; Insecta; Coleoptera; Curculionidae.
UAUUACGUUGACACGACUACCCACUCAUUCCGCUUGCAAACAGGAUUACUCUUUAAAAAACGAUAAAUGGAAAACCGGGUUGUGGUGAUGUUGUGGGCUCAAAACUAUUUAAUUAAGACACUUAACAGAAAGAAGAAACCGCCACAGAACCAAGCAGCGCGUGGUUUAAUACUUCGGGAGUGCUCAACAGGAAAUAAGAGUUAUUUAUUGCCACGUCCAAAAAUCGCCAAAAUUUAAGGGCAUGAUUAGGAGCUUUAAAAUUAAGUAUCUCACCUCUGAGCACCGUAAUUACAAUGUAUCGCAGUCUUUCUAUUGCACAAACACAUUUUGUAUUGAUAGUAUAUGUGGCUGUUCUUUACUGCCAUAAAUUAUUCAAAGAUCAAUUCAGUAAGCUUUGCAAUUUGUCUA